Molecule: small RNA, 552 nt
Filed under: Cryptococcus neoformans H99
Lineage: Eukaryota; Fungi; Basidiomycota; Tremellomycetes; Tremellales; Cryptococcaceae
Description: Cryptococcus neoformans var. grubii H99 hypothetical RNA
Source: RNAcentral
UAGAAGAGUACUCGAGGCCACAUUAAUAAGGUUAAGUGCGGCGCUUAAUUACACUAUAAUUGUAACAGUUACAAACAGUACUACAGUACUCAACAACGCUGGGAAGGGCGGCAAACACUCCCAUCCUGAUCUACUGACAAACCAUUUGCGAGACCAAAUGGUCAAGCCAUGCCGUAGAACUACCCGAGCGCGUACCGAGUCGUGGUCCAUCCCCAAAGCGGAGUGAGCUUUACCAAGGAUUGACGGAGAAUGAGAUUGAUGCGAGCUACAAGCGUCAUGCUGGUGAAGGUAGAUAAAGGCGGCUGGUAAGAUGUGUGCCGCUCAUACAUCCAGCAGUCGCUGAGGUGGAUGGAAGGAUGGAAGAGGCACCCUUCCCGGACUCCCGUCUAGUUUCAUCAAUCUGUCUUGGGCGGAUUGUAGCCUUGUUCCUCCGCAUUCAAGCGUAUUCUUUCCUAAGCUAGUGACCACAUUUGUAUUGCACCUUCUAUCUAGAGUGCUUCCUCUUCUAGUAAUCCCUUAGACCCGUGGGGGAAGGAUGCAUUUGUCUCUCAG